AGUGAGCGCUGGCGGUAGGCCUAACACAUGCAAGUCGAACGGCAGCACAGUAAGAGCUUGCUCUUACGGUUGGCGAGUGGCGGACGGGUGAGGCAUACAUCGGAAUCUACUUUUUCGUGGGGGAUAACGUAGGGAAACUUACGCUAAUACCGCAUACGACCUACGGGUGAAAGCAGGGGAUCUUCGGACCUUGCGCGUUUGAAUGAGCCGAUGUCGGAUUAGCUAGUUUGCGGGGUAAAGGCUCACCAAGGCGACGCUCCGUAGCUGGUCUGAGAGGAUGUUCACCGAUAAUGGAACUGAUACACGGUCCGGACUCCUACGGGAGGCAGCAGUCGAGCAUAUUGGACGAUGGGCGCAAGCCUGAUCCAGCCAUACCGCGUGGGUCAAGAAGGCCUUCGGGUUGUAAAGCCGUUUUGUUGGGAAAGAAAAGCUGCAGGAUUAUACCCCGCUAUUCUGACGGUACCCAAAGAAUAAGCACCGGCUAACUUCGUG
Molecule: ribosomal RNA, 492 nt
Filed under: uncultured bacterium
Lineage: Bacteria
Description: partial 16S ribosomal RNA
Rfam family: Bacterial small subunit ribosomal RNA
Source: RNAcentral